RNAcentral lists this long non-coding RNA (355 nucleotides) under Brassica napus (rape). RNAcentral describes it as "long non-coding RNA (BNAP_LNC002069)". The record is from RNAcentral. Lineage: Eukaryota; Viridiplantae; Streptophyta; Magnoliopsida; Brassicales; Brassicaceae.
UUCAGGGAAAUCUUCUCGUGAGAAUGAGAGAUGGAGCCUUCUCCCUUACAAGUUGCGUAGAAUCCAAAAAGCAAUUUAGGUUUCUUUGUAAAAACCAGUGUCCUCUUAAGAAAACGAUAGCCUCCCCUUUUUAUAGGGGGGCGCUGGUGAUAGGGGAAUAAGAGAAAGAGAAAGUCGAAAACUAGGGCAAACUCCAGAAUAGGAAGUUUCCUUAACGAUCGGGAACAGUCUAAUGCUUGAUCUCUUCUGGAGCAACCCUUGGGUUGUUCUAAAUGACUGUUCCAUGUUGAAUCCUUCAAAACAGCAUCUGACUUCCUGAAACUCUCUCCUUUACUCUUUCACCUGUUCCCAACCU